UGGGGAAUCUUGCGCAAUGGGGGAAACCCUGACGCAGCAACGCCGUGUGAGUGAUGAAGGCCUUCGGGUCGUAAAGCUCUGUCGGCGGGAACGAGGGAUAGGUGUUCGAAUAAAACAUCUAUUUGACGGUACCCGCAAAGGAAGCACCGGCUAACUCUGUGCCAGCAGCCGCGGUAAGACAGAGGGUGCAAGCGUUGUUCGGAAUCAUUGGGCGUAAAGCGCGCGUAGGUGGCUUUGUAAGUUGAAUGUGAAAACCCAGGGCUCAACCUUGGAAGUGCAUUCAAGACUGCAAAGCUUGAGUCCUGGAGAGGGUGGUGGAAUUCCCAGUGUAGAGGUGAAAUUCGUAGAUAUUGGGAGGAACACCAGAGGCGAAGGCGACCACCUGGACAGAGACUGACACUGAGGCGCGAAAGCGUGGGUAGCAAACAGG
RNAcentral lists this ribosomal RNA (430 nucleotides) under uncultured bacterium. RNAcentral describes it as "bacterial SSU rRNA". It matches the Rfam family "Bacterial small subunit ribosomal RNA", at positions 355 to 776 of the family's 1533-position model. The record is from RNAcentral.